Molecule: ribosomal RNA, 727 nt
Filed under: uncultured organism
Description: bacterial SSU rRNA
Rfam family: Bacterial small subunit ribosomal RNA
Source: RNAcentral
AUCAUUUGGACAGUGGCAGACUGGUGAGUAACGCGUGGAUAAUCUGCCCCGAAGAUGAGGAUAGCUCGCCGAAAGGUGAGGUAAUCCUCAAUGGUGUGGGAAGUACAUAUGUACAUCCCACUAAAGCUUUAGCGCUUCGGGAUGAGUCUGCGUCCUAUCAGCUUGUUGGUAGAGUAAAGGUCUACCAAGGCUAAGACGGGUAACUGGUCUGAGAGGAUGGUCAGUCACAGUGGCACUGAAACACGGGCCACACUCCUACGGGAGGCAGCAAUUAGGAAUCUUGCACAAUGGAGGAAACUCUGAUGCAGCGACACCGCGUGAAGGAUGAAGACCCUCGGGUUGUAAACUUCUUUUAUAAUCUAACAAGUUCUGAGUGGAGUAUGAAUAAGCACCUGCUAACUGCGUGCCAGAAGCAUCGGUGAAGCGUGGGGUGCGAGCGUUAUCCGGAUUUAUUGGGCGUAAAGAGAUGCGUAGGCGUUUUGGUAAGUCUUCUGUCAAAGCCUUCGGCCUAACCGAAGAAAGGCAGAGGAUACUAUCAGAAUUGAGACAGAGAGGGGGAAGUGGAAUUCCCGGUGGAGCGGUGAAAUGCGUUGAUAUCGGGAGGAACACCAGUGGCGAAGGCAACUUCCUGGCUCUGUUCUGACGCUGAGGCUCGAAAGCGUGGAGAGCAAAGCGGAUUAGAUACCCGUGUAGUCCAUGCUGUAAACGUUGGAUACUGGACGUUUGG